This 254-nucleotide ribosomal RNA is filed under the name uncultured bacterium. RNAcentral describes it as "partial 16S ribosomal RNA". It matches the Rfam family "Bacterial small subunit ribosomal RNA", at positions 524 to 777 of the family's 1533-position model. The record is from RNAcentral.
GACAGAGGGUGCAAACGUUGUUCGGAAUUACUGGGCGUAAAGCGCGUGUAGGUGGCAAGGCAAGUCGGGUGUGAAAGCCCUGGGCUCAACCCAGGAAGUGCACUCGAUACUGCCUCGCUAGAGUCCCGGAGAGGUUGGUGGAACUCUCGGUGUAGAGGUGAAAUUCGUAGAUAUCGAGAAGAACACCGGUGGCGAAGGCGGCCAACUGGACGGUGACUGACACUGAGACGCGAAAGCGUGGGGAGCAAACAGGG